CAGUCGCCGCGGUAAUACGAAGGGGGCUAGCGUUGUUCGGAAUUACUGGGCGUAAAGGGCGCGUAGGCGGCCAUUCAAGUUAGAUGUGAAAGCCCUGGGCUCAACCUAGGAAUUGCAUUUGAUACUGUUUGGCUUGAGUUCGGGAGAGGUGAGUGGAAUUCCCAGUGUAGAGGUGAAAUUCGUAGAUAUUGGGAAGAACACCAGUGGCGAAGGCGGCUCACUGGACCGACACUGACGCUGAGGCGCGAAAGCGUGGGGAGCAAACAGGAUUAGAUACCCCCGUAGUCCCUGUCUCUUAUCC
RNAcentral lists this ribosomal RNA (301 nucleotides) under uncultured bacterium. RNAcentral's name for it is "partial 16S ribosomal RNA". It matches the Rfam family "Bacterial small subunit ribosomal RNA", at positions 509 to 809 of the family's 1533-position model. The record is from RNAcentral.